AUGAAGAACGUAGCGAAAUGCGAUAAGUAAUGUGAAUUGCAGAAUUCAGUGAAUCAUCGAAUCUUUGAACGCACCUUGCGCUCCUUGGUAUUCCGAGGAGCAUGCCUGUUUGAGUGUCAUUAAAUUCUCAACCAUUAUCAACUUUUGCUGAUAAUGGCUUGGAUGUGGGGGUCUAUUUUGCUGGCUUCUCAGAUAGUCAGCUCCCCUUAAAUGCAUUAGCCGGUGCCCCGCGUGGACUGUCUAUUGGUGUGAUAAUUAUCUACGCUAUAGACAUCUGCAAUCAUAUGGGUUUGCGCUGCUUCUAACAGUCUGUUGAUUCAGACAAUACAUGACAAUUUGACCUCAAAUCAGGUAGGACUACCCGCUGAACUUAAGCAUAUCAAUAAGCGGAGGA
This 394-nucleotide unclassified non-coding RNA is filed under the name soil metagenome. RNAcentral describes it as "partial contains 5.8S ribosomal RNA, internal transcribed spacer 2, and large subunit ribosomal RNA". The stretch from base 1 to 119 matches the Rfam family "5.8S ribosomal RNA", at positions 36 to 154 of the family's 154-position model. The record is from RNAcentral.